Molecule: ribosomal RNA, 450 nt
Filed under: uncultured bacterium
Lineage: Bacteria
Description: partial 16S ribosomal RNA
Rfam family: Bacterial small subunit ribosomal RNA
Source: RNAcentral
GUGGGGAAUUUUGGACAAUGGGCGCAAGCCUGAUCCAGCAAUGUCGCGUGCAGGAAGAAGGCCUUCGGGUUGUAAACUGCUUUUGUACGGAACGAAAAGGCUCUGGUUAAUACCUGGGGCUCAUGACGGUACCGUAAGAAUAAGCACCGGCUAACUACGUGCCAGCAGCCGCGGUAAUACGUAGGGUGCAAGCGUUAAUCGGAAUUACUGGGCGUAAAGCGUGCGCAGGCGGUUUUGUAAGACAGACGUGAAAUCCCCGGGCUCAACCUGGGAAUGGCGUUUGUGACUGCAAAGCUGGAGUGCGGCAGAGGGGGAUGGAAUUCCGCGUGUAGCAGUGAAAUGCGUAGAUAUGCGGAGGAACACCGAUGGCGAAGGCAAUCCCCUGGGCCUGCACGGACGCUCAUGCACGAAAGCGUGGGGAGCAAACAGGAUUAGAAACCCUGGUAGUCC